RNAcentral lists this non-coding RNA (22 nucleotides) under Arabidopsis thaliana (thale cress). Lineage: Eukaryota; Viridiplantae; Streptophyta; Magnoliopsida; Brassicales; Brassicaceae. The record is from RNAcentral.
AUGGUCAUCCCACUAUGGUUAC